RNAcentral lists this ribosomal RNA (253 nucleotides) under uncultured bacterium. Its description in RNAcentral is "partial 16S ribosomal RNA". It matches the Rfam family "Bacterial small subunit ribosomal RNA", at positions 524 to 776 of the family's 1533-position model. The record is from RNAcentral.
UACGUAGGGCGCAAGCGUUGUCCGGAAUUAUUGGGCGUAAAGAGCUCGUAGGCGGCUUGUCACGUCGGGUGUGAAAGCCCGGGGCUUAACCCCGGGUCUGCAUUCGAUACGGGCUAGCUAGAGUGUGGUAGGGGAGAUCGGAAUUCCUGGUGUAGCGGUGAAAUGCGCAGAUAUCAGGAGGAACACCGGUGGCGAAGGCGGCCCACUGGUCCGGUACUGACGCUGAGGUGCGAAAGCGUGGGGAGCAAACAGG